GUACUCUCAUCGAAAACUCUUGUUCUAUGAUGUUUUUGUUUAAGCUGUUCCUCUUUAAAAGGUGACUUGAGACAGAAGAAACCUGUAGUAAGUUGGAUUUGUGUCUCUCCAUGGAUGUUUUGUGCCUUUGGGUUGGUGUAUAAGCUUGAACACUUUCAAUGUCUCUUUUUAUUGCUAAGCCUUUUUUUUAGGAUGAUCAACAUGGUUUGUUUUCUGUCUUUAUUUUUAUUUAUCCUACCACACUAAUACUCACAGAUCUUGUUGUGCAUUGCACACUUUCUUACAUUUUGAUAAUACACUACAAGAAAACAGCGGUAUUCCGACGGAAAAUGAAAUCCUCGGAAUAUACCGAGGAAUUUCCG
RNAcentral lists this long non-coding RNA (362 nucleotides) under Brassica napus (rape). Its description in RNAcentral is "long non-coding RNA (BNAP_LNC018328)". The record is from RNAcentral. Lineage: Eukaryota; Viridiplantae; Streptophyta; Magnoliopsida; Brassicales; Brassicaceae.